RNAcentral lists this ribosomal RNA (413 nucleotides) under uncultured Flavobacterium sp. Its description in RNAcentral is "bacterial SSU rRNA". It matches the Rfam family "Bacterial small subunit ribosomal RNA", at positions 1 to 419 of the family's 1533-position model. Lineage: Bacteria; Pseudomonadati; Bacteroidota; Flavobacteriia; Flavobacteriales; Flavobacteriaceae. The record is from RNAcentral.
CUCGGAGUUUGAUCCUGGCUCAGGAUGAACGCUAGCGGCAGGCUUAACACAUGCAAGUCGAGGGGUAUUGGUUUUCGGACCAAGAGACCGGCACACGGGUGCGUAACGCGUAUGCAAUCUACCUUUUACAGAGGGAUAGCCCAGAGAAAUUUGGAUUAAUACCUCAUAGUAUGUGAGAAUCGCAUGGUUUUCACAUUAAAGUUCCAACGGUAAAAGAUGAGCAUGCGUCCCAUUAGCUAGAUGGUAAGGUAACGGCUUACCAUGGCGACGAUGGGUAGGGGUCCUGAGAGGGAGAUCCCCCACACUGGUACUGAGACACGGACCAGACUCCGUACGGGAGGCAGCAGUGAGGAAUAUUGGACAUGGGCGCAAGCCUGAUCCCAGCCCAUGCCGCGUGCAGGAAGACGGUCCUA